RNAcentral lists this ribosomal RNA (468 nucleotides) under uncultured bacterium. RNAcentral describes it as "partial 16S ribosomal RNA". It matches the Rfam family "Bacterial small subunit ribosomal RNA", at positions 28 to 507 of the family's 1533-position model. The record is from RNAcentral.
GACGAACGCUGGCGGCGUGCUUAACACAUGCAAGUCGAACGGAAAGGCCCUGCUUUUGUGGGGUGCUCGAGUGGCGAACGGGUGAGUAACACGUGAGUAACCUGCCCUUGACUUUGGGAUAACUUCAGGAAACUGGGGCUAAUACCGGAUAGGAGCUCCUGCUGCAUGGUGCGGGUUGGAAAGUUUCGGCGGUUGGGGAUGGACUCGCGGCUUAUCAGCUUGUUGGUGGGGUAGUGGCUUACCAAGGCUUUGACGGGUAGCCGGCCUGAGAGGGUGACCGGCCACAUUGGGACUGAGAUACGGCCCAGACUCCUACGGGAGGCAGCAGUGGGGAAUAUUGCACAAUGGGCGGACGCCUGAUGCAGCAACGCCGCGUGCGGGAUGACGGCCUUCGUGUUGUAAACCGCUUUCGCCUGUGACGAAGCGUGAGUGACGGUAAUGGGUAAAGAAGCACCGGCUAACUACGUG